AGGGUAUAAAAUAAAAUAAUCCCAAAAAAAUAAUUAAAAUGACCUUAUUACAACCUAAAACCAAAUAAUAAUAUUAAUAAGAUAAAACUUAUAAAGAAAUAAAUCGGCUACUUAUUGCAAUUAAAAGAAAUUGAAAUAGUAGUUUGGCCAUCUCCGAGUCCCUCGCAGCUCUAAACCAUCUAAGCUUAGGGAUUACCUGCACAGUUAGAAACGGGGUGAGUUUACGAAAACUCAGUGUGUAAUCCCAAUAACAAACAAACAGUGAAAACAUGGUAUCAGUACAAUCUGGGCCAAAGCCCUAUAUAGUCUUGACAUAUACUGGGCCGAAGCCUUUCGUUUAACGGUUACUGGGCCGAAGCCUUUUCAUAAAUCAUAUCACUGGGCCAAAGCCUUUUCAUAAAUCAUAUCACUAGGCCGAAGCCUUUUCAUAAAUCAUAUCACUGGGCCGAAGCCUUUUCAUAAAUCAUAUCACUAGGCCGAAGCCUUUACUGUAAACGGUAUGGCCCUUAGGCCCAUUUCAAUAUCACAUGUAAUAUCAAUGAAUGUAUGCAAGCCCAUUUCAAUAUCACAUGAAAUACCAAUGAAUGUAUGCAAGCCCAUUUGGGGAGACUACUCGAUCCACCAUCCGUUACUCUCCACCUGUACCAACCAAGCUCUCCAUGUGGGGAAUAACUCAACCCACCCAACCAAACUCUCCACUGGCAACAUAGCUGCUUUAUCAUAUAACAGGAGGCCUAGCCUCUUUUAAUAACUGGGGUAAAGCCCUUUCUGAUAAACUGGGGCAGAGCCCUUUUCGGUAAACUGGGGCAGAGCCCUUUUAGCACUUCCUCCAUCAAUAUAACCCAUAUCCCAUGCAAUAUGUUAUGUAUGCAGAAUGUCAUGCCCAUAUUUGAAUCAAACAAUCACAGUCAAGUCACUCAUAUCACCAACAUAUAUUCACAAUCAAAUCCGUCAACCACACAGUCCAAGUCAGUCACUUGCCCACAAGGGAAAAACAAUCAUUUUUCAUAUUAUAAGGGUAUUUCGUAAUUUUACCAAAUAUUAGGGUUUUCCAUGAUCAUUACAAUUGUUAAUAUUUCCGAGUGUUUAAAUAAUGAUCUUUAACCCACUUUAUCAAAUUCGGGCUUUUGGGCCCAAAACCCUUAAUGGGCCCUAUGAAUGCUGAUUUAGCCCACUAAGCCUGCUUAACCCAAAUUCUACAACAAUACUAACCGUGUUAACAUGAAACUUUUCCAAAUUCCAUUUUCUAUCAAUUUUACCCAAAUGGGCCCAAAAGCCCAUUUGGCCCAAUUCCUGCCCAUUGAGGCCCAACUUGCUAUCGUGCCCAAAAUUGAGUUCUUACCCGUUCCAUCGAUCCGAACACCGAUCUUAUCGUAUUUAUCGCAUCUAUACCCACACGCAACAUUACAAGUUCCUGAAAUACCGGUAUUUUAGCAUUUCGGCUUCUCAGAAAAUAUUAAUCUAAGCUAUUACGAGGGUUAGUACACACCUGUUACGGGUUGAAGUUGAAACGUUUCCAUAAUCAAUCACCUAUGAUAGCCACCACUUGUCACUCAAACUUAACUAUUCCAAUAUCAAUAUAUGUAAAUCCUAAGCACAUCAGUCAUACGGAACAUAAGGGCGUAUUCAUCAUUUUACCAUACAAGGGUAUUACGGUCACUUUACCCUACAAGGGCUUUACGGUCUUUUUACCUAUUAGGGGUAUUUUAGUCAUUUCAUCCUACAAGGGUGUUUUGGUAAAUCUACAAACCAAGGGUAUUUCAGUAAUUUUGUAAACCAAUGGUAUUCCUAUAAUUUUUAAAAAAGUCAAGGGUAUUUCUAUAAUUUUGUAAAUCAGGGGUAUUUUGGUAAUUUUACAAAUUGAGGGUAUUUCGGUAAUUUCUCAAACCAGUGGUAUUUUGGUAAUUCUAUCCUACAGGGGUAUUUCAGUAAUUUCACAAUUGAGGGUAAAAUGAUAAUUUUGUAAACUGAGGGUAAAAUGGUAAUUUUGUAAAUCGAGGGUAAAAUGAUAAUUCUAUAAAUCGAGGGUACUUUGGUAAUUCUAUAAAUCGAGGGUAAAAUGGUAAUUCUAUAAAUCGAGGGUAAAAUGGUAAUUCUGUAAAUCGAGGGUAAAACGGUAAUUCUAUAAAUCGAGGGUAAAAUGGUAAUUCUAUAAAUCGAGGGUAAAAUGGUAAUUUUAUAAAUUGAGGGUAAAACAGUAAUUUUAUAAAUCGAGGGUAAAAUGGUGAUUCUAUAUAUCGAGGGUAAAACGGUAAUUCUAUAAAUCGAGGGUAAAAUGGUAAUUUUAUAAAUCGAGGGUAAAAUGGUAAUUCUAUAAAUCAAGGGUAAAACGGUAAUUUUAUAAAUUGAGGGUAAAAUGGUAAUUCUAUAAAUCGAGGGUAAAAUGGUAAUUCUGUAAAUUGAGGGUACUUUGGUAAUUUUACAAUUUGAGGACAUUUUAGUAAUUUGGUAAACUAAAGUAUUCUAAACAGGGAUAACAAUACGAAUAGGCCUAAAGCCUAUUCUCGGCCCAAAUGGACCCACACGCUCGUGUGGCCCUUUUAGCCCAAAUCUAGCCACAAAUAUGAGAUUCACCUAGCUUAGUCCAAUAUUUACUACACAAUCAAACAACUUAUCCAAUUGGGCCCGUAGGCCCAUUGGGCCCACAUAGCCCCUUUCGGCCCAUCACGGCCCGAAGUAGCCAUCCUACAGCUAGAGUACUGAGAAAUACACACCUGAUAGGAGCCUGGAGUUAAUCCACGCUCCGAGCACUCUUAGCCGACGCCCAACCCAAACGAGCACGCCAUACAGCGAAAGGGAUCAG
RNAcentral lists this long non-coding RNA (2803 nucleotides) under Gossypium barbadense (sea-island cotton). RNAcentral describes it as "long non-coding RNA (GBAR_LNC012207)". Lineage: Eukaryota; Viridiplantae; Streptophyta; Magnoliopsida; Malvales; Malvaceae. The record is from RNAcentral.